GCAUGUUUGGUGAAGAGAAAGAGAGAAAAAAAAUUACUAUUUUCUAAUGAAAUAUCAAGCUAAAGGAAACCAAGGCAGGAUGGUGACUAACUUAGUGAUUUACUUUAUUUUUCGGUAGUUACAUUUUUAAUAGAAAAUCAGAACACAGCGCACACGGAACCACCUAGAAGGCACAUCUGAACUAACAUGGCGUUUGUUCCCACAACGCUCUGUGCCAGAGAUGCAAACCUCGGACUCCCAGGGGUCGAUUCAGAAAGGCUGGCAACGUUUGCCAAGAUCGUCUCGUGGGCCAAACGAAACGUUCGCAUCUACAAAAAUCCUGGUCGCCAAUCGGAUUUAAAGGUAGAAGCUUGAUAGGUUCGCAAUAGUGAAAAUUCCUGAUGCGAACGUUUGCAAUUCAACGAAUGGCUGCGUAUGACUUUAAUGGGCUGAAAACGCCUGCUGGCACCUGGAGAGCGUGAAACGAUCCUGCCGAUCGGCGGGAUGAGACACGGAUGUGAGCGUUUAUAUCGUAGGCGUGCGGAAGAGCUGUUUGCGCCUCGUAACGAAGUGACAAACUGAACAGGCCCUUUAGUCACCAAGGGACGACCUUUCCUGCGCGGUCGUUCCGAGGCCCAGCUGUCGUCUGCGUCCAGGACCUUCGAUUACCCUGUCACUUGGAUGACCGAGUCCCAGCAGGCCCCCGCCUGCCCCCCCCCACCGGGGUCCACGCGGCCCCUAGGCUGGGGGUUAAGGCCGACGGUCAAGGGCUUCUUCCGUGUGCUUGGUACCCUGAAACCCCAUCCCUCCUAGUUUUAGCAAGGAGCGGGGACCGCGAGGGUGGGGGCUCCGCUCCCGAGGACGGGCUUCGAGUCGGACGAGCCAUCGCCAGCACGCAAAGCAAUUAGACCCAGGGGUGGGUAUUUAUGGAGUAGCCCUGUCGUACUAUUUCGGGGGCCGAUGCGCUCACCGUGGACAGGAUUAAUAUAGAUGGUGUCCGUGCUGCGAAGACCCUCGGAUCCCGGCGGCGUUCUUUCCAACGCCACGCUCAACUCCUGAACGGGGUCCGGGCUGCCGGUUCGAGACCGGGCGACACCCCGCUGAUCCGGCUUUGCCAUCAAAUCGGCACUCGCACCGUCCGGGUGUCACGUCAAGGUCGUCGUCAUCAUUCUCCUUCGUGCGAGCCUGCAACGGAAACGCGCUGUGCAGUCAGCUCCUCCUCUAUCCCACGUGUGCACAAGGGGGGUCAGGAAUCCCGACUUUGGCGCAACUCGCUCCCUUCGAACGGACCGCGGAUGAACACGACGGCUCGCCGGCCUGGACCGUAACGCUCGGAAACGAAAUCGCGGAACCUCAGAAGAACCCUAAGAACGGGCUAAAAGAAAGUUUAUGGGAACCUGAAAACACUGCCAUGAAAGGAAUUAAACCUCUGGGACCUCCUUAAAAACACCCCUCUUUGUACAAACUUCAUCUAUAAAGAAUUUAGUCAAGAAUGUUGCUAUUUUACUUUUUGGGGAAAAAAAGAAAAGAAAAAACAAAUGAAACAAAAAAGCUUUGCUAAAUGUUUUACUUAUUUAAUACAACGGUUAUUUUUCUCAGAACCUGUCAGAUUUGCUGUAUUUGAUGGAAAAAUGUUCAGAAUGAUUAAAACCUGGGGGUAUUUCAUCCACCAUAAAUUUCAAACCAUGUAAAUACUGCUCAGUCAUAAAUAAUUCAGCACUAUAUUUUUUACACUGUGGACUCUCUCUUAAUUUAUAUACACUGUACAAAAUUACUUCUGCAAAAUAACCAUUCUAAAUUUGUCAUUAUUUCUCAUUUCUAUUCAUUCAAUCUUGAGAAAAAUAUUUUCGUUAAUCCAACUCAUAUAUUGUAAGAUAUAAUUAGAAAAUAAAUAUUUGAGAGACUGAACA
Molecule: long non-coding RNA, 1889 nt
Organism: Scleropages formosus (Asian bonytongue)
Lineage: Eukaryota; Metazoa; Chordata; Actinopteri; Osteoglossiformes; Osteoglossidae
Source: Ensembl